This 377-nucleotide ribosomal RNA is filed under the name uncultured bacterium. RNAcentral's name for it is "bacterial SSU rRNA". It matches the Rfam family "Bacterial small subunit ribosomal RNA", at positions 521 to 896 of the family's 1533-position model. The record is from RNAcentral.
UAAUACGUAGGUGGCGAGCGUUGUCCGGAUUUACUGGGCGUAAAGGGCGUGCAGGCGGUCUGCUAAGUCUAGGGUGAAAGCUCCCGGCUCAACUGGGAGAGGUCCUUGGAUACUGACAGACUUGAGGGAGGCAGAGGAGAAUGGAAUUCCCGGUGUAGUGGUGAUAUGCGUAGAUAUCGGGAGGAACACCAGUGGCGAAGGCGGUUCUCUGGGCCUUACCUGACGCUGAGACGCGAAAGCGUGGGGAGCGAACCGGAUUAGAUACCCGGGUAGUCCACGCCGUAAACUAUGAACACUAGGUGUGGGGGGUAUCGACCCCCUCCGUGCCGAAGCUAACGCAGUAAGUGUUCCGCCUGGGGAGUACGGCCGCAAGGCUA